This 448-nucleotide ribosomal RNA is filed under the name uncultured bacterium. RNAcentral's name for it is "bacterial SSU rRNA". It matches the Rfam family "Bacterial small subunit ribosomal RNA", at positions 354 to 796 of the family's 1533-position model. The record is from RNAcentral.
GUCUAGAGGCUUCGUCAAUGGGGGCAACCCUGAACGAGCGACGCCGCGUGUGGGAUCGAAGGCCUUCGGGUCGUAAACCACUGUCAUUGGGGAAGAAUGCCCGGAUGGCGAAUCCGGGAGCGACGGUACCCAGGGAGGAAGCCCCGGCUAACUCCGUGCCAGCAGCCGCGGUAAUACGGAGGGGGCAAGCGUUGUUCGGAUUUACUGGGCGUAAAGGGUGUGUAGGCGGCUGGAUAAGUCUGGUGUGAAAUCUUCACCGCUCAACGGGAAGGGGUCACUGGAAACUGUUCAGCUUGAGUAUGGUAGAGGCAAGCGGAAUUCCUGGUGUAGCGGUGGAAUGUGUAGAUAUCAGGAAGAACAUCGGUGGCGAAGGCGGCUUGCUGGGCCAUCACUGACGCUGAGACACGAAAGCGUGGGGAGCAAACGGGAUUAGAUACCCGAGUAGUCC